This 116-nucleotide small nuclear RNA is filed under the name Tiarina fusus. RNAcentral's name for it is "Tiarina fusa partial Dictyostelium signal recognition particle". The record is from RNAcentral. Lineage: Eukaryota; Ciliophora; Prostomatea; Prorodontida; Colepidae.
GGGAUGCACGCCGGGACGAGACCAGCGCCCUGUCGCUCUUGGGCAAAGCGAGCAUGCAGUUGAAGCGCUGGGACGAUGCUGUUGAGGCCUUCCGGGCUGUCAUAGAGUUGGAGGAG